RNAcentral lists this long non-coding RNA (328 nucleotides) under Elaeis guineensis (African oil palm). RNAcentral describes it as "long non-coding RNA (EGUI_LNC033843)". The record is from RNAcentral. Lineage: Eukaryota; Viridiplantae; Streptophyta; Magnoliopsida; Arecales; Arecaceae.
GGGUCCAUGGGGGUUAGAGCAAAUGGUUCCUUUUAGAAUCCAAAUUUGUUUAUUUAAAGUUUGGUCAAUUUUUUUAAUAUUACAUUCAAAAAUUUUGUGAUCAAUUUCAUUACAUUUAAAACAUUUAAUGAAAUGAUUUUUAAGUAAAGCUUUUGUGAGCUUAUUUUUUUAUAAAAUUUUAUUUUCUUAAAAGAUUAUACUCAAUUCUUGUAUUAUUGAAAAUAGCUUUUUGAUUGUUCAAACUAGAUUGAAGCUUAUGAGAUCCAAUUAUAAACUUUUCAAACAUGGGUUUCAAAUUUUCAAUCUGUUUUCUUAGUUUGUCAUUUUC